UUUUUCUGCUCAAUGAUUUUUUAAAUUGCUGUGGUAUUUUGACUAUACAAAGGUAUUGAAAUAAGAUUUUAAUUGAAUGCUAAGAGAAUGGAAGUCCAGAAAAAAACUUUUUUUAAAUUAAAAAUUGAAGUUUUUUUAAUUUGUGCAGAAACAAUUAUUUAUAUUAAAGACAAGAAGACCCUAUGAAUUUAUUAAAUUUUUAUUUAAUAUGUAAUUACUAUUAGAAAAAUUUUGGCUGGGGCGGCUAGAAAAUAUUAUGAACUUUUUAAAAAUAAAAUGAUCCAUUAUUAAUGAUUUUAUGUUAAAUACUCUACGGAUAACAACGUAACAAUUU
Molecule: ribosomal RNA, 334 nt
Filed under: Rhipicephalus linnaei
Lineage: Eukaryota; Metazoa; Arthropoda; Arachnida; Ixodida; Ixodidae
Description: Rhipicephalus sanguineus sensu lato 'tropical lineage' partial 16S ribosomal RNA
Source: RNAcentral